This 387-nucleotide unclassified non-coding RNA is filed under the name soil metagenome. RNAcentral describes it as "partial contains 5.8S ribosomal RNA, internal transcribed spacer 2, and large subunit ribosomal RNA". The stretch from base 1 to 120 matches the Rfam family "5.8S ribosomal RNA", at positions 35 to 154 of the family's 154-position model. The record is from RNAcentral.
GAUGAAGAACGUAGCGAAAUGCGAUAAGUAGUGUGAAUUGCAGAAUUCAGUGAAUCAUCGAAUCUUUGAACGCAUCUUGCGCUCCCUGGUAUUCCGAGGAGCAUGCCUGUUUGAGUGUCAUCUAAAUCCUCAAACCACAUUGAUUCUUUCGGUGUGGCUUUGGAAGUGGGGGUAGUGUUUGCAGGUUUUAUCUUAAGUCUGCUCCCCUGAAAUGCAUUAGUGGUAUCUGAGCAGAAGGAACUACUACAGGUGUGAUAAUUUAUCUAUGCCUUAGUAUACUGCAUAAAACAGAUUACACUGCUUAUAACAAACUUUAUUUCUUUUUUUUGGAGACCUCAAAUCAGGUAGGACUACCCGCUGAACUUAAGCAUAUCAAUAAGCGGAGGA